UUGGGAAACAUACAAUUUUAUAUUACAUUAUUAUAUUAUGACUAAUUACAAUAACUGAAAUCAAUAAAGUUUCCACUAUUAACUAAUACAUACAACAGCACUAUACAUUGCGUGAAACAUAGUGUUUUGAAAAAAAUUAA
Molecule: long non-coding RNA, 140 nt
Organism: Melitaea cinxia (Glanville fritillary)
Lineage: Eukaryota; Metazoa; Arthropoda; Insecta; Lepidoptera; Nymphalidae
Exons: 3
Source: RefSeq, a predicted model, not a curated record